UUUUAAGUAGUACUUCUUUUUCCUGGUUUUAAUACAUGCCCAAACUUGAGAACGUAUUAUGCUUGAUGACCUACUUUAUUGCCAGUAUUGUUUUUCUUUUUUUUUCUUUCCCUGUGGAACAUUGUUCACAUGGCAAUACCUUAGGUUCAACAGAAUUUAGGGAGAUGAAGAAUUUUCAAAGGAGACAAUCGUAUUUGGACAAGAGGAAGAAAGUCGUCAACCAUGAGGGAUGGGAAGGGGAUGUGGAUUUGAUUGCUGCUGUUUGUUUUAUGUUGGGGAUUGAAGGUGCUGUCUGCUGGGGUUCCAGCUCAGUAGCAAGAUUCUGCCUAUUGUCCCAGACUCCGAAAUCUCAGAGGAAGCUACCAUGGCCCCUGCAGAACAAGUACUACAUGGAUGCUGAAUCCUGAAAUGGUUGCUGAUAGGAUAACACAAUGAAUUUAUGUGGUAAGGGAAAGGCAAGAACCAAGGAAGCUUUUGCAGUUUUUUUCUUGAACAAUCAGAUUGAUGGCAACUCUAUUUAUCACAAUAGGGCAGAAAUGAGAGGGGAGUGGGGUUGGAUUAGACAGAGAAGCAGAUGGAGC
RNAcentral lists this long non-coding RNA (581 nucleotides) under Cricetulus griseus (Chinese hamster). RNAcentral describes it as "lncRNA (ENSCGRG00000026608.1)". Lineage: Eukaryota; Metazoa; Chordata; Mammalia; Rodentia; Cricetidae. The record is from RNAcentral.